UUCAUGAGUUUUCCUUUCAAAGAAGGAGAGUUAUGCUCUUUGCAAUACUCAGUCCAGGCAAAACUAAUAACCCAAGGGCUUCAUGCUGGUUUAUUUUCAUGGAAAGCUCCUCAUAAUUUGAAAUCACAGAGGGUCACAAGCAUCUGAGAAGACACAAGCUAAAAUGUCUGGAUUCUAUGACUUCAUCAUAAGGGAUGUUGGAGUAAUCCUUCAGUCAUGGAGGAACAGAUCAAACCACAGAUCAGCAUACAGAAUCCUACAGGUUAUCAUUCUAGUGGAGUGAAAAAUGUCAGGAGAAAAAUGACAAAUUACUUGCUCUCUCCGUGUCAUGGUAUGAUGAAUCAGGUCCCUGUGCUUCCCUAACCUGCUCCCUGUUGCUGACAGAGAAGAUCAAACCCACACUGGGAGGCAGCCACCCUCCCAUCCACCAAUCAGAUCUCUUCAUGCCAAAAGGCGGAACCUUUGUCUUGGUCAAUUGUACGAUUGCACACCUGAAUCAUAAAACAGAUAAAAGCUACCCUUUAUUAAAU
This is a long non-coding RNA of Mustela erminea (ermine), 530 nucleotides long. RefSeq lists it as uncharacterized. The transcript is spliced from 3 exons. Lineage: Eukaryota; Metazoa; Chordata; Mammalia; Carnivora; Mustelidae. The record is from RefSeq and is a predicted model, not a curated record.